AUGGCCGAGGAAGUAACUACAUGGAGGAGAAAUUACUGCUCAUGGGGUGAUGAGAUGGAUGAUGCAUUGCUUGAAAUCCUUGUUGAGCAUCACAACAUGGGUGACCAUGCCCAAAAUGGAUGGAAGUCACAUGUGUACACACAUGCCAUAAGGCAUGUGAAGGGUAAGUGCAAUAAGGAUAUCACAAAGGAGAACAUUAGUGGAAGGAUGAGGACUUUGGAUCAUCACUAUGAGGUCGUAAGCAAAAUCCUUUCUCAAAGUGGUUUUGGUUGGUAUUGGACCAAUAAUAGGCUAUCAAUGGAUAGUGAUGAUGUUUGGGCUAAAUAUGUGGAGACAUGCAAGGAGAUAAAGUCUUACAAGAACAAAGUAAUCAAGAACUGGGAGUCCAUUUGCAUCAUAUAUUAAAAAGAUCAUGCUAAUGGUGAGGGUGCGAAGACAAGUGCUGAGAUUGCUGCAGAGCCAUUAGAAGAACUGACCGAAGUCUCUCCAGAAGUAGUGCCGAAGAGGCAGCAAACAGGUGAUGCUAUUCUCCCCGGAAACAUCAUCGUUGUUGAUGAUCAAAUGAGCCAUCGAACCUUCUGCCGACGGCACAGUGGAACUCUCAAUGAAAGCACCAAUGUCGGUGUCAAAACUGCCGAUCUCGGGUAG
RNAcentral lists this ribosomal RNA (648 nucleotides) under Triticum aestivum (bread wheat). Its description in RNAcentral is "partial small subunit ribosomal RNA". The record is from RNAcentral. Lineage: Eukaryota; Viridiplantae; Streptophyta; Magnoliopsida; Poales; Poaceae.